This 577-nucleotide ribosomal RNA is filed under the name uncultured Clostridium sp. Its description in RNAcentral is "bacterial SSU rRNA". It matches the Rfam family "Bacterial small subunit ribosomal RNA", at positions 323 to 916 of the family's 1533-position model. The record is from RNAcentral. Lineage: Bacteria; Bacillati; Bacillota; Clostridia; Eubacteriales; Clostridiaceae.
CNGNNGUCGACGAUUCCUACGGGAGGCAGCAGUGGGGAAUAUUGCACAAUGGGCGAAAGCCUGAUGCAGCAACGCCGCGUGAGUGAAGAAGGUCUUCGGAUUGUAAAGCUCUGUCUUUUGGGACGAAAAUGACGGUACCAAAGGAGGAAGCCACGGCUAACUACGUGCCAGCAGCCGCGGUAAUACGUAGGUGGCAAGCGUUGUCCGGAUUUACUGGGCGUAAAGGAUGUGUAGGCGGAUAUUUAAGUGAGAUGUGAAAUCCCCGUGCUCAACAUGGGGGCUGCAUUUCAAACUGGGUAUCUAGAGUGCAGGAGAGGAAAGCGGAAUUCCUAGUGUAGCGGUGAAAUGCGUAGAGAUUAGGAAGAACAUCAGUGGCGAAGGCGGCUUUCUGGACUGUAACUGACGCUGAGGCAUGAAAGCGUGGGGAGCAAACAGGAUUAGAUACCCUGGUAGUCCACGCCGUAAACGAUGAGUACUAGGUGUAGGAGGUAUCGACUCCUUCUGUGCCGCAGUAAACACAAUAAGUACUCCGCCUGGGAAGUACGGUCGCAAGAUUAAAACUCAAAUGAAUUGACGG